GAUGAACGCUAGCGGCAGGCCUAACACAUGCAAGUCGAGGGAGAAGCCCUUUCGGGGGCAGAAACCGGCGCACGGGUGCGUAACGCGUAUGCAACCUACCUUUCACAGGGGGAUAGCCCGAAGAAAUUUGGAUUAAUACCCCAUAAUAUUAUUGGAUGGCAUCAUUUGAUAAUUAAAACUGCGGUGGUGAAAGAUGGGCAUGCGUCCUAUUAGCUAGUUGGAGUGGUAACGGCACUCCAAGGCUACGAUAGGUAGGGGUCCUGAGAGGGAGAUCCCCCACACUGGUACUGAGGCAGCGACCAGACGCCUACGGGAGGCAGCAGUGAGGAAUAUUGGUCAAUGGUCGGAAGACUGAGCCAGCCAUGCCGCGUGCAGGAAGAAUGCCUUAUGGGUUGUAAACUGCUUUUAUAUGGGAAGAAUAAGGCGUACGUGUACGUUGAUGACGGUACCAUAUGAAUAAGCAUCGGCUAACUCCGUG
Molecule: ribosomal RNA, 478 nt
Filed under: uncultured bacterium
Lineage: Bacteria
Description: partial 16S ribosomal RNA
Rfam family: Bacterial small subunit ribosomal RNA
Source: RNAcentral